RNAcentral lists this ribosomal RNA (253 nucleotides) under uncultured bacterium. RNAcentral describes it as "partial 16S ribosomal RNA". It matches the Rfam family "Bacterial small subunit ribosomal RNA", at positions 524 to 776 of the family's 1533-position model. The record is from RNAcentral.
UACGAAGGGUGCAAGCGUUACUCGGAAUUACUGGGCGUAAAGCGUGCGUAGGUGGUUCGUUAAGUCUGAUGUGAAAGCCCUGGGCUCAACCUGGGAAUGGCAUUGGAAACUGGCGACCUAGAGUGCGGUAGAGGGUAGUGGAAUUCCCGGUGUAGCAGUGAAAUGCGUAGAGAUCGGGAGGAACAUCCGUGGCGAAGGCGACUACCUGGACCAGCACUGACACUGAGGCGCGAAAGCGUGGGGAGCAAACAGG